ACCCGCUGAACUUAAGCAUAUCAAUAAGCGGAGGAAAAGAAACUAACAAGGAUUCCCCUAGUAACGGCGAGUGAAGCGGGAAAAGCUCAAAUUUGUAAUCUGGCGCCUUCGGCGUCCGAGUUGUAAUCUCGAGAAGUAUUUUCCGCGCUGGACCGCACAUAAGUCUGUUGGAAUACAGCGUCAUAGUGGUGAGAACCCCGUAUAUGGUGCGGAUGCCCAGUGCUUUGUGAUAUACUUUCGAAGAGUCGAGUUGUUUGGGAAUGCAGCUCAAAUUGGGUGGUAAAUUCCAUCUAAAGCUAAAUACUGGCGAGAGACCGAUAGCGAACAAGUACCGUGAGGGAAAGAUGAAAAGCACUUUGGAAAGAGAGUUAACAGUACGUGAAAUUGUUGGAAGGGAAACGCUUGAAGUCAGACUUGCAUUUUGGAGUUCAGCCGCAAGGUGUACUCUUCAAUUCGCAGGCCAGCAUCAGUUUUCGGGGGUGGAAAAUCGUGGUUUGAAGGUAGCAGUCUCGGCUGUGUUAUAGCUUUCCGCUGGAUUCACUUUUGGGGACUGAGGAACGCAGUACGCUUUUUGCAAGACUCUCGAGUCUUUCGUACUUAGGAUGCUGGUGGAAUGGCUUUAAACGACCCGUCUUGAAACACGGACCA
This 648-nucleotide ribosomal RNA is filed under the name Microbotryum salviae. RNAcentral's name for it is "LSU rRNA". It matches the Rfam family "Eukaryotic large subunit ribosomal RNA", at positions 23 to 668 of the family's 3401-position model. Lineage: Eukaryota; Fungi; Basidiomycota; Microbotryomycetes; Microbotryales; Microbotryaceae. The record is from RNAcentral.